CACAUUUAGUCAUUUUAAUCCUUCCAGGAGCAACCUGCCAGGAGCGAGUUGCAGUAGUCCAGGCGUGAGAUGACAAGAGCCUGAAUCAGUACCUGGGCAGCCUUCUGAGUGAGAAGAGGACGUAUUCUCCUGAUAUUGUAGAGAGUGUAUCUACAGUAUUGUGUUAUCGCAGUGAUGUUGGGAGUCAGGGAAAGUUGGCUGUCGAGUGUCAUGCCGAGGUUCCUAGCAGUCAAAGUAGGCGUUAGCACGGAGUUGCCAAAGUUGACAGUCAAGUCCUGGGUCGGAGAAUCUUUUCCCGGAAAGAGAAGUAGUCCAGUCUUGUUGGGGUUGAUUUUCAGAUGGUGAGCAGACAUCCACUGAGAGAUGUUAGACAGACAGGGAGAGAUCCGUGCCGCCACCUGGGUGUCCGAGUGAGGGAAUGAGAGAAUUAGUUGGGUGUCAGCGGCAUCGCUGUGGUAGGAGAAGCCAUGCGAGCGAAUGACAGCGCCGAGAGAGUUUGUGUAGAGCGAGAAAAGGAGGGGACCCAUGACGAAACCCUAAGGAACUCCAGUAGUAAGAGGACAAGAUUCCGACACAGCUCCUCGCCAGGUUACUGGGUAGGUGCGGCCGUUGAGGUAAGAUGAGAGAAGGGAGAGAGCAAAGCCUGAGACACCAAGUUCCUGAAGGGAGGAAAUAAGGAUCUGGUGGUUGACGGUGUCAAAUGCAGUGGGGAGGUCCAGAAGAAUGAGGACAGAGGAGAGAGAGAGGCGGCUCUAGUAGUGUGGAGUUGCUCUGGGAAAGCAAGGAGAGCAGUCUCUGUGGAAUGGCCUGCCUUGAAGCCUGACUGGGUCAAGGAGGUUGUUACGGUGGAGAUAGGAGGAGAGUUGGUUAAAGAUCGCACGUUCAAGGGUUAGGGAAGAAGAGAGACCGGUCUGUAGUUGUUUUCUUCAGAAGGGUUGAGGGUAGGUUUCUUCAGGAGAGGGUUAACUCUUGCCUCCUUCAGAGAAUUGGUAAAACAGCCAGAUAACAGAGCAUUGUUGAUGAGACAGGUGAGGAAAGGAAGAAGGUCAGGUACGAUAGAUUGUAGAAGAUGUGAUGGAAUGGGGUUAAGAGGGCAGGUGGUGGGACGGGCAGAGGUUACUAGGGUAAGAAUUUGGUUAGGAGACAGGGGGGUGAAGGAGGAAAGUGAGUGCGAUAGAGGUGAAGUCAGUGGGACGCAAGUAGUAGGAGGUGGGUUUGAGAAAGAGGAGCUUAUGUCAGCUAUUUUCUUGGCAAAGUAGUUGACAAAGUCUCCUGGAAGAAUGGUGGAGGAGGACAAGGCGGUUUGAGAAGUUCGAAAAGAGUUUUUUGGAGUUAGAAAAUGAAGAUUCAAUUCUGGAUUGGUAGAAAGAGUUUUUGGCAGCAGAGAUAGAAGCAGAAAAAGAGGAGAAACUCAAGCAGGAGAGUCUCUGCAGGAGUGUUCGGAUGCAAGAAUGAGAAUGAGUCAGUAGAAGGGAGAGCUGAUAGAACCAAGGAGGCCAGGGAGGAUAGAGAGAGGGACCGAAUAUUGCGAUGAACAGGUACAUAAUCUGUCGAUGGGGCAGGGUCGUUAGCUAUAGAGUGGGAGAGCGUAAGAGAUGAAGUGGUCAGACACAUGAAGUGGAGUUACAGAGAGGUUAGUGGUAGAGCAGUUUCUGGUGAAGAUGUAGUCAAGGUGAUUGCCGGCUUUGAGUAGGAGGAGAGGGACUGAGUGACAGAGCGAAGGAAGAAAGUAGGUGUAAGAGGUCAGAUGACUUUUCUGUCUGGAUGUUAAAGUCACCCAGGAGGAUGAGCGGAGGGCCAUUUUCAGGGAAAUUGGACAGGAGAAUGUCCAGUUCUUGCAAAAAAUGACCCAAGGCGGACAGUAAAGGACAACGAUAUUUAAUUGUACCGGGUGAGUAACUGUUACAGCAUGGAAUUCGAAAGACAGUGGAGUGGAAGAGGGUAGAGAGAAAAGCGCCAUUUGGGUGAAAUGAGUAAACCUGUGCCACCACUCCAACCAGUGGGUCCGGGUUUGUGGCUGAAGGAGAAGGCAGAGGAGAGAGUGGCUGUGUCACGGUGUUGUUUAUUUCCUGUCUUAUUUUGUCAUUUCUGCUUCUGUUAAGCAGUGUGUGUCUCUUGUCACUUGUCGCGUCAUUGUCGAAUGUCCUGGAUGUUUCUAGAUUCUGCCUGCCUUUUUUCCCUGGUGCCUGUUUGCGUUUUUGCCCCUUGGCCUUUUGCUUUUGGUAUAUUGACUAUUAAAGUCUGCGUGUGAGUCCUGCAUUCCCCGCAUCCCUGACAGAAUGACGCAACCACGAAGGGACUCAGCGGACCCGCUGCCAGAUUACAGAACUGACUACAUGGAUGGGAGGAGCCCGUUCUGGCACCGUAAAACGAACUUUGUAUAUGGUCCCAGGAGUAAUCCUAAAUCCCAGGAGGAGCCCUGGCAAGCGGAAGCAGCAAUCUCCCGUACCCGCUGGGCCGCAGCAAUCUCCCGUAACCGCUGGGCCGCAGCGAUCCCCUGAUCCGGUUCCCUGCCUCGCUCCGCCUACUCGGCCAAUCCCGACCCAGAGACUCGCACCCCUGACCCCCGUACCGGCCCCCUGCCUCGCUCCGCCUACUCGGCCAAUCCCGACCCAGAGACUCGCACCCCCGACACCCGUACCGGCCCCGAGACUCCUGACCCCGACGCCUCCAGUCCCCGGCCCCGAGACUCCUGACCCCGACGCCUACAGUCCCCGCUUCCCGACUCAGGCUCCCUCCCUCUCAUCCCGUGGUACUCUCCCACACUCACUUUGGUGAUUUGAGGGCCGUCUGGGAUCCGGCCCUUGAGGGGGGGGCUAUGCCGAGGGCUGAGCCGGCGACUCGUGGUUUCCAGUGUCCCCCAGCCGGCGACUCCGGAGGUUUCUCGUGUCCCCCAGCCAGCGACUCCGGAGGUUUCCCGUGUCCCCCAGCCAGCGACUCCGGAGGUGUUCCGUGUCCCCGAGCCGGCCAUUCCGGAGGUGUUCCGUGUCCCCGAGCCGGCCAUUCCGGAGGUGUUCCGUGUCCCCGAGCCGGCCAUUCCGGAAGUGUUCCGUGUCCCCGAGCGGCGACUCUGGAGGUGUUCCAUGUCUCCCAGCCGGCUAUUCCGGAGACGUUCAGUGCCCUCCGGAGCCAGAUUGCUGACCGUCCGCCGGGCCAACCCCCGGACUGCCAGAGUUUCCCGGGCGGUCCGACGUCUCUUGUUUCCCUCCCUCCCGCCCCUUUUCCGCUCUCUGCCAGUUUGAGCCGUCUGGAAUUCGUCCGUUCAGGGGGGGGGGGGAAUUGCUCGUCUUGACUCCCACGAAAGACUCUCUAGGCUUUGUCCUGCUCGUCUUCGUCUUUCCCCGUUAUGCAAACGCUGAAGCUAAUCCUUCACUCGACCUCUAGUUAAAUACUCCCUCGUUAGUCGAAGUCGGCUACGGCUGCGCUGACCACUCCCCCGUCGUUUAGGAGACAAAAGGUCGAUUGGCCUCCGCAGAAACUCCUCAAAAUGCAAAACAGCAAUCGCUUGACACCCUAAUGAAGUGAACAAUAACCAUGUGGUGUUUUGACACCACAAAAGUGGAGUUUAAGGAUUCAAGUUUCUUCUGCUUCAGAAGAGAAGGCAAAACAGACUUGGAUUGGGUCAAACCUAGCAAUUAGCAUUACAUUAGUUUUGGUAGGCCGCGCAUGUGUGACGUAAUGUCAUUUUUUUCAGCGAUGGCACGCAAUCGACUGGUACUGCCUUCGCAUACCUCGCACCGGUUUGGGGAAAUCAAACUGUUUUAGGUUUUCCUAAUUAGCUACUCACCACUCCUUGGCUUUGGUUCUUUAGAUACUGCACUGAAAGGCAAUUGUAAAGAAGGGCACACACAGCAGGUGAGUACCAAUUUAGGCAAUGCACAUUCUUUCUUUAAACUUUUGUGUACCCUGCAUUGGUUGACGCUUCGGAAACUACUCCCGCCGGUAGUGUCCGGGUUGCCCGCACCUCCAACACUCCUGCCCUGGCGGUUGAGGAGCCCUCUGUAAGUUGGGGAGAGUGCCGGUCAGGCCGGGUGGAUCAGUACUCCAUUGAAAGGCUGGAUCUCGCGGGGUCGGCAGGGCCCGAGCUGCGACCGGCUGCGGGGCCCUCCUUUGUGGCGUGGGGACGGGCUGUGGUGAUGUGGCCGGCCGACCGCCCUCUCCCGGCCCGCCGGGGUGACCCGCCAGGUGGUCCUCCGCAAGGGUGACGGCGGCCUCCAGCGUCGCCGGCCGGUGGUAACGGACCCAGGCCGCGGUCCGCAGCGGCAGACCCUCCAGUAGCUGUUCCACCACCACCGCCGGCGCUCCUCCCGUGCCCUCCGGCUACAGCCACCUGUUGGCCGCGUCUCUGAGCCUCUGUGCGAACGCGAAUGGGCGGUCCCCCGGCCCCAGCCUCGCCCCUCGAAACCCCGCCAUUGCCUCAAACAUCUCCAGGAACGACUGCACCUCAUCCCCCAGGGUCAUCUUAUGCAGCGUCAUACGGCGGGGAACCCGGCGCCAGCGGGGCCGCAACUGGCCGGGCCGCCAACAGCUCCAUCACAUGGGUUUGCCGGUCCGCCUGUGCCUGCAGCGCCCCCAGGAAAAGCCGGUUGGACUCGGCCUGCUCGCUCUGCAUCGCCGCAAUCUCCCCCAGCAUCCGACCGAGUGUGAUCGCCGGCUGCAUCGGUCCCUCUCCGUCAUCAGGGUUGUCACCUUUUAAGGUUCGUGUAAGGACGCACGGAGACAUGAUUCUUCUGAGGAAUAAGUUUUAUUUAUUUUCUCGCAGUGAGCAGGUUUCGCGUAGUUGUCCUCGUCCACUCCGCUCCUCUCCUCUCCUCGGCCUUGCCCCUGAGCGUCUGCUGCAGAGUCUCCCUUUUCUCUCCAGGUCCUGCUCACUGCUUUUCAUGGGACAAACAAUCAGUUCUGAUCACUUCCACCUGUGCUCCUUACUCUCCUGCCGUCACCGUCCCCGGAACCACUCACCCGCUCUCCCCCCUGCAGCUGAGCUAACCACACCCCGCCACAGCAACAAUAUUUAAAACUGCCCAUCAGUAACUAACAUUCACACACUGUAGUCAAAGCUACAGGAGCAAUGUUGAUUUAAGUGUCUUGCCCAAGGACAUUGCCGGUUUAGCCGGGCCUGGGAUCAAACCGCCAACCCUGUGAUUGGAGAACCUUGCUCCCCACUCACCCACAGUCGCCCCCUCUUAUCUAUCUUUUAUGGUAGCUACAAUGGCAGCAUCUCAGAAUUCCUGUCGCCAUUUGCAAAGUAGAACUCUUACUUCCUCUCCAUGUUCAUUUGCACUUCUGCAUCGUCUGUGGUUGUUGCCUCUUGGUUGCUAGCUUCAAGGUCUGACAUUCUUCUCCACCACUGAUUAACAAAGUAAAAAACUGGAGGCAUAUUUAAUAUUAUAAAGCAUCAUCUCCCUCAGUCUUCAUUGUUAUCACUGUCCAUUGUGGGUGAAUUGAGAGCUUGAUUGUCCUUCAAUUAGAGGAUUGGCGGUGCAUCCCCAGUACCACUACUCCAGAUGUGUGUCCUUUGGACAAGACGCUUAACUUUGCUUUAUGUGUGCAUGGUGUGAAUGUUAGAUACUAAUGGGUAGGUGCACUGUUCAUGGUACCUCAUGUAAUCACUGUAUGAAUGGUUGAAUGAUGACAUGGAGUUUAAAGAAAUAUGACUUAUGUGUCUUUCGUAUUUAAGAUGAGCUAGGAAACAAACUGGUGUGCAUGUUCAGAGAGGACAACAGCUCCCAUGUGAUAAACCCUCAAAGACGGGCAGGGGCUUCAAAUGAAAAAUCCUGUAAAAGAAGGGUAAAGGAGUGCAGAGGGAAAAAAACAACUCACUGACAAGCAGUUUGUGUAACAAUGUACCGCCUGCCGGGGUUUUAAAAGAUUAAAAUGUCUGAGGUUCAUUUUUUAUAUUCCCGCUCAUUAGGACAUGUGUGACUUCUCAUUGUCAGGAGCGUUUGAAACUGUUACAUUUUGUUCCCGUUGAUAGCAAUCUGCAUUUUUCUUUGGUGAAACAUCUUGUUAUAUGUGUCACUACAAAGGAUCUUUUUUUCUGAAAUCCUUUCUGUUGCACUUCUCCUUCCCCUGUACUACCAAACCCAGGAUAUGUUUCUGCUGGAUCCCAGGCAGUUAUAUUUGUCCCCACUGUCUUAGCUAAAAGGAGAUACAGUAAGUACCAUGUGGUUGCACUUAUAUCCAUAGAAUAAAGGAUAGAACACAUGAGGUGCAGUCAGUCUAGAUCCUUGACCAAAGAACAGAAGAUAUAUCAUACCUGCAACAUUGAUCUGUCAGGUAAAAUGAAUACUGUUGUGAAGAUGACAUCUCAUCCUUAAUACUGUCGCUGGUCUCUGGUGGGAUCCACUUCAGCAGAACCUCAUUAAAGGAACACAGGGGUGGAGAUGGAAGGAGAGGUUACAAGAGGCUGUUUGUGUGUUUUCCACUAACCUCUGUAUAGACAAACACAACACAACAUGCUGUAACUGUAAUUGGUCAUAUUAAAUCAAUCAGGUAAAUAGAAUAACCUGAAUUUAUUUUUGCCUUUGAAGGUUUGGGUCAAAAUUCAACAAAAAAAGAGAACCCGAGACGACAAAAAGGAAAUCAUUCUUCAAGCCACAGGACUCGAGCUUGUUGGCAAACUUUUUACUCUUGUAAUGUUCUCCCCAUUUAUAUCUGACAUUAAUAUUCAGAUCAAGAAAAGGUUUAAAGCCGGGUUGGUAAGUUGGUACCUCUUUCGUUCCUGUGACACAUUUGAAUUAAAAUCAUAAGGCACCAAAUAUACCCUGUUACACGGACAAUGUGCACCAUCUACAGGUUAUGUUGUCAUGCUGAAUUCAUGGUAUGUUUAUUUUAUUCAGACUGAUGUUUCUGCAAUUAAAAGAAACAAACAUCAUAUCUUGCCUCUUUGUCGCAAUUGCUGUUUGAUAUGUUACAGCAUUGUUGCACUGUGAUGGUGUGCUGUAAUUGUGAGAAAGCUACUAAAUGGGCUUUGGCCAUAGACUUAAAAAAAAGUUUGACAGAGCAUUGGAGGGAGGGCCAUGUUCAUUCCUGUGAAAGUUGCUAAGUGGCCUCUGUAUAUAAAAGCUCAGUAGCAAGAUAUGGAAGAGAUGUCACAUGAAUUGUUUGCUCCCAAUGGCAGGGUUAUGUUUUGUAAUGGAAGCACUUUUGAUGUUCUGACCUGGGUGGAGACCAUCCAGGAAUGUGUCAUACAUGUUGGUGAAGUUUGUGUUUGUGUCCCGUCUUACGUCUGAUUUUGAUACUUCCUGUUUUAUUGUGGCGUCUAAACCCCCUCUCGUUGCAGGUGCCUUGCCCUUCCUCAGGUGUCUCCUGUCGAUUAUCUCCCCUGAUUCCUAAUUGUCUCCUCCUGUUCCCUCACCUCCCUCAUGGAUACUUAUUGUCUGCGUCUCCCUUUGUCCUGUGCCAGUGUGUCUUGUAGUCGUGCAUGUCCACACCCGCGUUCGUGUUGGUUUGUGAAAGGAUCUUUGCAUAUGGUAUUAUUAGAUAUAGGAAUAAUUGUACUACUGGAUCAUUGGAAUAAAUCUAUAGCAGUCAAACCUCUCUGCGUCCUUGUCCUCCUCCCCGGCUCCGGCCUCAUUGACAGAAUGGAGACUUUACUUUAACUGGCCAACUUGUUAUCUGUCUGUCCAUUUGCCAAACUGCUGGUUUGUAUGCGAUUGGGAAUCAUGGCUAUAAAUAGUGGCUAUGAGCAUAUACAUCAAGCAGCACUUCCAUCAGGGAAACCAACUAAUUAUUGUAGUGUGUGCCUUAGGUCUAAAACAAGCAAAUAUACAUAUCAGAAGACAUAUGCGGAGGGUUGAUGUACAUCAAAUGAUACCAAUUCUAUUAAGCCUACUGAUUGCCUCUUUGGCAGCUAUGAAAGCAAUUUAGAAAGAAAAUAAAGAAUGGUUUUGUUCCAUGCCAUGUGCCUGGGACUUUUAUUCAGGGGCUCCAGAAAACAAAGAUGCCUGGGUGGAUAUGGCUCAAUGGCUCUUGGUGUUUUUGUCUUUGAAUGUUAAUUGCUCAGAUCUUAAGUCGAUUAUUGGUGUAACACCUAAUUGUGCAAAUUUAUUGGACAGUAAACUAAAGUUGUGUCUCCCUGAAAGUCGUGCGGUAGUUAUAAGAACACAUCGAGGUGUAACUGCAACUAAUCUGAUUGAUUAAAAAAGAGCCUUUGAGAGGACCAGGGAGAGAGUUUAUUCAGCCCAGUGACGCAUUGAACUAAUUAGCAAGAGUAUUUUAGAGGGAAGACAUUGCUGAGGAAUUCUGAUCAUCACUCAUGGCCCUGUCUCUGUAGUUAAAUGAAGUGUCAUCUGUCAUGCAUACGCAUGCGAAGAGAGGACUAGGUUGGAGGUUCGUUUGUCAGCCGGCAUUCAGGACACUCAUUAUCUCGCUAAAGUGAUGUUCAUGUUUAAAAAUGAAUUCAUUUUUUAUUCCUCCCUCUCAAACCUCAGUUAAAAGGGACUGCCACGUUGGCAUCAGAUCUCAGUCCAAUUUUACUGGCCUGGGAGACUCUCUCUUUUCUUACUCUUUCUCCUCCAUCAUUCCAUCCCCCAUUUUUUUUCCACCUCCCUCCUAAAAAAACCCCCAUUCAUCAUUUUAUCUCCUGACCACAGUCAUCAAUGAAAACAUGCUGGUGCGUCCGUGCCUAUGCCAAGACAAUUAUGCCGAUGGCGCCUUCAAAGAGUUUUAUGAAUUCCAGCUCUCGUUGUGCCUGGCGGGAGGGAGGCAGGGAGGGAGCCGGAGACUGGGCCAGCACCGGGUGAAGGAGACACAGUUUGAGCAUGCUGAAGAUUUUCUGAUGAUCCACCAUAUUGCUGCUCCAUGGAUGGAGGUAAAUUGCAGCCAUGUGGUCCUAAGCAUAUUAAACUCUUUUAUAGAGUCUGAGCCUUGCUUAAUCAAGUGAAAAGUGCUGUGGGGGUCAAGCAGGGAUCAUUAAACGUCUCUGCUGCUGCUUAUCCCUCCAGAACAUAGCCUGAAAGGACAGCUAUAGAGAAGGAAGAAAAGAAACCAAAGAAACAUAAAGCUUCAGGAGAUCUCUCAUACAUGCUCCCAAGUGAGCUUGCAAACACUCCCUUUCAGAAUUUUAUUUUUCAGUUGAAAAGUCAAUGCUGUUCACCCAAGACGACAAGCAUUGUGUUUUUGCGUCCAACAAUCGAGUUUCAAAUUAAAUUGGCAAUACAAAUUUCACAAUUAUAUGUCGCUGUUCACCGGUUAAUUUGAUGAACAGCGACAUAUAAUUGUGAAAUUUGUAUGGACGGCAAUAAUCUCAUUUAAAAAAUUGAAAAGCAUAGGAUUCAGUCAAAAGGACAUAACAGGAGACAAGGUUUAUGCUGAAUGUAAUCCAUACAACCUGGAGAUGCUGGGGUGAAACCUACUGAGGCAAUAUUGUAGUAUGAGAUUUUGAAUUACACUAAAUAAAAUAAAUUGAACUCACGCAACUGUGUAUAUACAGAGUAACAAUGCAUGUGGAGGUGAUUAGGCUGAAAGAGACGGCUCAGUUUAACAGUCAAUCUGUUUUCAUUAUGACUUCUGUCUGGGAAUCUGUUUAUAUAUUAUUAUGCAAACAUGUUUUGGUAGAAACUCAAGAUACAAGGAUGAGCCUAAAAACAAGCAUGUCUCCUUCAACUGCUUGACUGUAUUUUAUUGAGGAAAACUUCAGUACUCUUUUGAAAGAAAUGUUUUUAUGCAAAUUUGUUGAUAAACCUUUUGAUAAAGAAAGGUUGAAAUAAUACUUUUUCAAAUCUAUUUUCUGACCUUCACUCACUUAACUUUUGUACAUUCUAAUACACAGGACCUCUCUUUUAAGGUUCACCUUUUUUUUGGUCACAUAUUCAACACAUCUGGUGAAAUGUGUGUUCGUCACUUACAGUACUGUGCCAGAGUUAAAAAUAAUUACUACAAUAUAUUCAACAAUACAAUGCAGACUCCAAUAUAACAAAAAAUGUAUAUUAAUUAAUUAUACAGCUUAAAUAAAUGUGUAAAAUAAAAGGGCUUUAGGAGUAGGAUGACCAAGUGGAAGUCUUUAUCCUACAUAAACACUUCGCUGAACUCAGUUAAUUAACUCAACUAAAUACUGUUUACUUUAAAACCUUUUAGUAAAUAGACAUUUUUUUUUAGCCUCUGCUCCAAAAAUGGCAUACCCAUGAUAUAAAUUGGAAUAACUCUUGUGUGGACAGUAAUAAUGUAAAGUUUCAUGUUGAAAGAAUACUAAAAAGUAGUGGAGGCUUUUAUUAAGGCCUCACGGGCUCAAAAUAUCAGGAUUUUGUAGCAUCAGCCUGUGGUAGACCGGUUCCCGCCUUUCAACCACUCAUUUUGAUUGUCUCAUCCCAUUAGAUCCAACUACAUCCACAUGGAAAAGGGUGACAGCUUCCUUAGCCACCCAGAAGCCAAAGUGGGUAGAGCAUAAAAUGACACUUGGCUAAAAAAACUCCCUUUCCCUAAAACCCGAGUGGAAGACGUUGGCUUUGCUUGUGAUGCGCAUUCCAUGGCGGGUGGACACACCUCAAUCAAAAAUCUGAUAACUUUGUUAAAAACCUCAAAAAGGUAAGGGGCAUGUAUAUUCUGGAUUGGUGGCUAUUUUUGCUCCGGUUUUGGCAAGGUUUGUCUGAGAGAACUGAUUCUCACAUCAACGUUUUCAGCUUUUAUUCGGCUAGCAAUUUGCCAUGUUGUUUUUGUGUUGGCUUCUUGCCUCGAUAAACCGCUGUGUGCACAUUUCUGAACUCAUUUGCACAUCAUAUUUUAUAUUUUGUUGCAGUAGUGUUUCUUCUUCCCGUCGGCAGUCGGGCUCAUCAACCGAGCCCGGUCCCCCACUGUGUGACUCUGACAUUCCACCGGUCACUCUGCUUCAUACUGCACAUGUCACUUUAACUGUAAUUUUUCACUCGUUACUUUGUUGUCACUCGUCACUUUGUCACUUGUUUGAUAGUGCACUUUAUUUUAAAAUAUUUUUUAACUUUAACUUUAUUCUCAUUUUAUACUAACCCAUAGCCUUAUUCUACUAACCCAUCACAUUAGCAUUUUAUUUUAUUACUUGUGCACUGCUGUCUUGUUGUCUACUGUUACACUGUCACCAACCGCCAAGACAAAUUCCUUGUAUAUUUGACAUAUUUUGGCAAUAAAUGUUUCCUGAUUCCUGAAAGACUUUUACAACAUUUCGAACAAGGUAAAUAAUUCAUAUAUUUGUUAGUGAUGAGUACACAAUAUUUCUUUGGAAGUUGGUUCUGGCUCUGUUCCAUAUAGGGUUCCUUCAUAUAUUUUAAUCUCCUUUUCAAUGUUCAUGAUUUUACUUGAUUGAAUUUUAAAGCCAAUGAGUAUGCCCUUUCCUCUAAUUAUUUCAGAAUUAUCUUGUGUUUUUACCAUGAUUCCCUUGAAGUUAUGUAGAAACAUCUACCCAUUUUUUUCUAGCUGUGUCUCGUUCGGCUGCAGCUGCGUAAUUAUUUGGUCGACGUUUGCAUGCUCAGGGACCUCUCUGUUUGCAUUGACUCAAGCUUUCUCAAAACACCUUUUUGCCUCUUUCAUACUGCUGUUGCCGAUUAUUGGAUCAGGUCACAUUUUACAGUAUACAAGCCAACAUGGGUUAUUCUGACCCACAAUCCUGUGUGCAUCAACAAAAAAAAAAUAUAUAUAUAUAUAUAUAUAUAAUGAGGGUUAUAUUUCACCAGACUUCUGUAUGAAUUGAAACAAAAACUGUGAAGUGAAUCAAAUACUUGAAUAUAUGACCAAAGAGCUCUCUCUAGGUUCCUGAUGAGUUGUGCCACGAUCCCAGCUCCUUGAGUGUGUUUUCUGUUUGUCUGUCUGUUUUGUGUUUGGUGUCCCUGAACGUAACCUGUUCCGGUUGCUGGGCAAUGAGAAGGUGGGAAUUCCAGGAUCACAGAUGCCCGCUCCCACCUGUUCCAAAUCCGCAAUCAACACAUCUGGUCCUGAUCAUCGUCUACAACACUAUUUAAGCAGAGACCUGACAUCCACUCCCUGCUGGAUCGUUAGCCAUAAUUCGUAUGUUGUGCUUGCGUGUCAGCCUCAAUAGUAAAUAAAUCAGUCUCUUGUUCUAUUUACUUGUGUGCUUAUCCGUUUCCUGUACCUCUGCUUCAAGUAUGUUCACCUUGGAUUUCCCGUCACUCCUACCGGGCAACCGGAACAUUGCCACUCACUUCAUCACUGGUACCCACCUGUCUGGAACAUGUCUGGAAUACCAUAAUUAACAAUUGUGUGUUCAAUAAAUACUCACCUUUUGUCACCACCAAGUGUAGUCUGCAUUUGGGUUCAAAACCAGAGAUGAUCGGACAUUCUGACCCACUGUAAGGGAACUAUAGUGAUUAGGUCAAUAAGUCAAUGGCCAGGCUCUCAGUUUUUCUGAGAUCUGCAGUUAGGGCCGGAAAACAAACCGAAUGGAAACUCAUGCAGGAAAAUUUAGUCAUUACUAAUGAAAAGUCAAAUUUGAUUGUAGUUCCUUCAUAAUUUGUCAACAGCCCAUGGUGGUGACAAUACUUUUAGAUUUUUUACUACUACAAAAUGUCUAAAACCCUGUCUAUUGCACUUACGGACACAGUGGUCCGUAAGGACGACAAGGGAGGUCCUGACCACUGCCCACUAAGGACAAUAAGAGGAAGGCUGGAGAUGAUGAAUGGACCUAUACAUUUAAUGUACAUCUAAUUUGUUGAGUUUUUGUAAUCCACCUGAUAUUUCAUUUAGAGCUUUUACUGAAGAUUUUCCAUCUCCAUCGAUAGACAUGGAAUUGUGUAAAAUAAAUGAAUUCAUAUGAAAAUUAUAUUGUUACAGUAUCAGGAAAUAUGACAAUUAAGUAUGUGGAUAUUCUCUAAAUCUUUGAAUUUUUAUAUUUACAUCAAUUAAACCAAUACAUGUGACCAUUUUUUAUAUCUGGCCUUUCAUAUUGACCAUAUUAGCCUAAAAUGAUUUACAAAAGUUGGCCUUAAGAGAAUAACGGACACCUUUUUACCUUACACUUCAGUAUGUGUUUAUUUGAAUAGCCUGAAAUAACAUUGCAUUUAAUUAAUGACAAAAUCAUUUAAAUGUUAAAACCCCUCCCUGAUAACUAAUCUCCCUCGGCCCCUGUAUGCUCUGAACUCCAUUUCGGCUCAGUUGUGGUUAUCACAUCUUGCCAUGUUUAAAAAAAACUGUGUGGUGGAGGUGUUUGAUAUGUUAAGAAGAAUUAGACACAUGGUCACAGCCCCAGAGGAGACGACAUCUGGGGAGGCAUGCCACCCACCACCUGCUGCUGCGUCAUGCUGUAAUCCCUGGUCACAUAGCCAGCCGGCCAGCCAGAAAGUUAAUGGAUGUCAUCCUUCUCUAUGUGUGGAUGUACCUUUUCGUGUAUCGACCCGGGCUUAUUAUUUUGCAAUAAGAGCUUUUGAUCAUUCAGAGUGUGCGGGAGGCCUGACUUCAUACAGGAGAACAAACGCUGUGGCUGCAUCCAAUCAAAGUGCAAAGAAAAAGGGGAGGGCCACCCUUCACCCAAGACAUAUCUCAAGCUCCAACCAAAUGGAAAAGUAACAUUCAUAUCUUUUAGACCCUUUUAUUUAGUGUGCCAUAGAGUUACGGUAGUUUUUCUCAAGGGAUAAGAAAGAAAAUAUAGAUUAGGGUGGGUCAGAUAUGGCUAUAUCAUGUAACAUGUAAUACAAUUUCAAUAUUAUCCGAAAAUCACUAUGAAACAUUGAGGUUUACACUGAUUCAAAUGACUGAAAGAAUAAUGCAAUAUUUUCAUAUACAGAUUUACAGCUUUAGCUAGUAGCACAACAUAAACAAAAUGUCAUUUAUAGUCUAUAAGCUAUUUACUAUUAUGCUGGGCAAAAGCCAAGGGGCUACUUCUUCUAUUGCAGUGUUUUUCAACCUUUUUUGCGUCAAGGCACACUUAAGACACAGAAAAAAUCUCACGGCACACCAACAACCGGAAAUGAUAUGAAAAUCAAUCCCAAACAUAGUUUCAGCAUGAGCAUAAUAUACUCUAAGAAAUCAGGGAAACGCGUGUUCUAUUUGUUGUGUUUUAUUAAACUUAACAUCAUCCUAAUGCCAAGAUGGCACAGGCUUUAUGCCCAGGUAUCUCUUAAGCCUAGUUUAUGCUUCUGCGUUUUCCCUUGCGUCGCUUUUCACACCCCCUUGCGUCCUUGCGUGUGUCGAGCCAUUUUUCUGCGACGCAAGCCUCCCGCAGCGCACCAGGCUGUGAUUGGUCCGCUAACUACGUCCUUUACGGAGUCUCACAUUUCCGCUUUCAUAGCCCGAGACCGCCAUUAUUAAAAAUGAAGAAUGUUUACGAGAGAAACGGAUCAGAUUUGAGAACUUUUGUCGGAAGAACUGCGUAAAUAUGAGUGCUUAUACAAGCCGUCAUUGGCGGGUUGUAGAAGCAGGUUGGAUUCAUGGAGGGAGAUCGCCUCAAACGCCGGUUUGCCGGUCGAGAGGUGCACAAAGUUGUGGAGGAAAAUACGGGACAAAUGUGUCCACGAUGAAAAGCAGCAGUGCCGAUGCACGGGCCAAUAAAGUUUAUGAUAAAUUAAUAAACAAAUAAAUAAAUAGACGUGACUCUCUAGGUCGUCUUCAACAAAAACACGUUACUCCGCCUGUUGUUCUGGAGGUGAAUUACUCUGCAACACACGCAGAACCGACGCAGACGCAAACGCAGAAGCAUGCGCCAGUCUGAAAUCUCACUUUUUUAAAUUGUCGCCUCAGCAAAUCUGCCUAUUAAUUACGCUGCGUACCGCCACCCACAGGCAGAGGGGAGUAUUGAGCCUUCAUACCACCAACAGCGCAACGACACACACACAAACACACAAGUUGGCUCUUUUUUUCACCAAUGAAGUGACAGUAUGUAAAAAAUGAUUUUUUUUCACGGCACACCUGACAGCCUCUCGCGGCACACUGGUUGAAAAACACUGUUCUAUUGUAUAUUGUACCCAUGGUCUUUAAUAUAUUUUAAUUCUAAUUUGAAGGUCAUUUACAUUAAGAAACUAAGAUGAGUCUCCGAUAUUAAGUGUUCAAUAUUUCUGGAUAUUUCCGCUUCUAU
Long non-coding RNA from Gasterosteus aculeatus aculeatus (three-spined stickleback), 14992 nucleotides. The record is from Ensembl. NCBI's taxonomy places the organism in Eukaryota, Metazoa, Chordata, Actinopteri, Perciformes, Gasterosteidae.